Molecule: non-coding RNA, 45 nt
Organism: Schistosoma mansoni
Lineage: Eukaryota; Metazoa; Platyhelminthes; Trematoda; Strigeidida; Schistosomatidae
Source: Rfam
AUCCAUCUGACGAGUCCGAAAUAAGACGAGACGCGCAUUGUGGAU